AGUAAUACAUAAGUAACCUGCCCUAGACAGGGGGAUAACUAUUGGAAACGAUAGCUAAGACCGCAUAGGUACGGACACUGCAUGGUGACCGUAUUAAAAGUGCCUCAAAGCACUGGUAGAGGAUGGACUUAUGGCGCAUUAGCUGGUUGGCGGGGUAACGGCCCACCAAGGCGACGAUGCGUAGCCGACCUGAGAGGGUGGCCGGCCACACUGGGACUGAGACACGGCCCAG
RNAcentral lists this ribosomal RNA (232 nucleotides) under uncultured bacterium. RNAcentral describes it as "partial 16S ribosomal RNA". It matches the Rfam family "Bacterial small subunit ribosomal RNA", at positions 109 to 334 of the family's 1533-position model. The record is from RNAcentral.